This 425-nucleotide ribosomal RNA is filed under the name uncultured bacterium. RNAcentral's name for it is "partial 16S ribosomal RNA". It matches the Rfam family "Bacterial small subunit ribosomal RNA", at positions 354 to 796 of the family's 1533-position model. The record is from RNAcentral.
GUGGGGAAUAUUGGGCAAUGGGCGAAAGCCUGACCCAGCAACGCCGCGUGAAGGAAGAAGGUUUUCGGAUCGUAAACUUCUAUCCUUGGUGAAGAUAAUGACGGUAGCCAAGAAGGAAGCCCCGGCUAACUACGUGCCAGCAGCCGCGGUAAUACGUAGGGGGCAAGCGUUGUCCGGAAUGAUUGGGCGUAAAGGGCGCGUAGGCGGCCCGGUAAGUCUGAAGUGAAAGUCCUGCUUUUAAGGUGGGAAUUGCUUUGGAUACUGUCGGGCUUGAGUGCAGGAGAGGUAAGCGGAAUUCCCGGUGUAGCGGUGAAAUGCGUAGAGAUCGGGAGGAACACCAGUGGCGAAGGCGGCUUACUGGACUGUAACUGACGCUGAGGCGCGAAAGUGUGGGGAGCAAACAGGAUUAGAUACCCUAGUAGUCC